UGAUUGGAAAGGUCAAUUCCAAUAUGGCGGCAGUUUUAUGUUGACCUGCUUUGAAUGGAGAAUCGAUUUCGUUUUACUGACAGCUUCGUUUCUGGUCUUUUGUACUCACAACAAUGCCAGCGUUGUUAGAGAGGCCUAAAAUGACUGAAGCUAUGGCUGCGGCCUUGAAACAUCAUAUUUUGAAAGAAAGAGAACGUAAGCGUCAAGAAGAGGAAGAAGCUGAUAAAGCCAUAGAAAGAAAAAAAGAGGAGAGAGAAAGACAGAGAAAGAAAGCUGAAGCCGAAUCUUUGAAUCUAGAAGAAACUAAAGAACAG
Saccoglossus kowalevskii is the source of this 314-nucleotide long non-coding RNA. Lineage: Eukaryota; Metazoa; Hemichordata; Enteropneusta; Harrimaniidae. The record is from RefSeq and is a predicted model, not a curated record.